CUUCUACUCCCUCCGUUCCGAAUUACUUGUCGCGGGUAUGGAUGUAUCUAGAUGUAUUUUAGUUCUAGAUAUAUCCAUUUCUGCGACGAGUAAUUUGGAACGGAAGGAGUAAAAG
This is a non-coding RNA of Triticum urartu, 115 nucleotides long. NCBI's taxonomy places the organism in Eukaryota, Viridiplantae, Streptophyta, Magnoliopsida, Poales, Poaceae. The record is from Rfam.